Molecule: non-coding RNA, 5500 nt
Organism: Oryctolagus cuniculus (rabbit)
Lineage: Eukaryota; Metazoa; Chordata; Mammalia; Lagomorpha; Leporidae
Source: RefSeq, a predicted model, not a curated record
AGUCUUGUAUUUGCCCCGUGCUCUCUGAAGGAGUCUGUCUGCCCCUAGCUCUGCUCUCCCCUGCUCCUCUCACCUUGCCUGCUGUCACUGCUGGGGUGAAACCUACCAUCUGUUCCAGACACUGAGCAGAGGUUUGGGAACCGGGAAGGGACAGCGUGUCCAGGGCUUGCGUGUCAGUAGACACGUUACAGCUGUAGGGCAAACCAGGGUGAAACCACAAGCCCGCAGCUCCAGGGCAGGCAGCCGGAGGCCCGCCCCUCAGCUCCUCCACUCUCUCACCCAGAGAGUUCCUGGCAGGAGUGGCAGAGGUUGGUAUCGAGUCCUUGAGCCCUGACUCAUUCCCUGGCCUAGUUGGGUGUUACCCAGCUGUCUCCCAGCCUGUCAUCCCAGACCGAGGACAUGGAGAUGUUCAUGCCCAACUGAGGCUCCUAGCCACAGACAAAGGGUUUACAGUCCUGGUUUUAUGUGCCACCCAGAAGGUUCCUGGGCUAUAAAAUGGACAAGCUCAUCUUACAUAGCUAUGCUGGGAGACUGGCUGUUUUCCAGAUUCCUUUAUAGAAACAAUCAUGUCUGGCUUUCUCCAGAAAGAAUAAAAUCAUUAUUUUAUUUUGCUUGGGUAGGGGAAGGGGCCUGGGAAGGUGGGGUAGGCAUGGGAACAUUGAGCCAGGAAAUGAGCAGGCCGUUAUCACAUCAUGAGUCAGGGGCCUAUCUGGGGACACAGCUCAGGCUUCCUAACCCCACCCCGAAUUCCAUUCUCUCUCUCAGUCUAGUGGCUUACGGACUAAGUAAUGUUCUGGGCUUUCUGGACUCUACAGAAGUUCUUCCAACUGCCAAGUUCCCGAGGGUUCAAUAGGAAGCUGAUUGUAUUGUGCUCCUGGGCUUCCUAUGUGUCCCUUGCGCUAUUUGUCCUGUGGAAAAUGUGAGCUCUGUGUCUCUUACCUCCCAGACAGGUUGUCAGAAACAUUUCGGAGUUAUCUGAGAUCCAAAGAAGAGCAGCGAGGCGGGCUGUGAUCCUGAGGUUAGAUGGCAGAGACAAAUAUUGUUCUACUCUCAAGGAUACAAGGAUGGAAGGUCUAUCUUUCUGGCUCACAAGCAGCUCACAUUUAAUCAGAAUGGGACUGAAUACACAAACAAUUGCAAAAGAAUGCUGAGAGCUACUACAGAAGUAAGCACAAGGCAGAGUGGACAGUGAGAGAGAGAGACAGAGAGAAAGGUCUUCCUUUGCUGUUGGUUCACCCCCCAAUGGCCGCUGCAGCCAGCGCGCUGAGGCCAGCGCAUCACACUGAUCCGAAGCCAGGAGCCAGGUGCUUCUCCUGGUCUCCCAUGGGGUGCAGGGCCCAAGCACUUGGGCCAUCCUCCACUGCCCUCCCUGGCCACAGCAGAGAGCUGGCCUGGAAGAGGGGCAACCGGGACAGAAUCCGGCGCCCCAACCGGGACUAGAACCUGGUGUGCUGGCGCCGCAAGACAAAUAAUUAGCCUACUGAGCUGCGGCGCCGGCCAUGAUUUUUUUUUUUUAAACCUUAAUGUGCAUCUUCACUUUAUCAGUGUUGAAUUUCUUCUUGUUGAUGUUGACACUGUUCCAAUCUGCUCAAUGAUUUGACUGCAUUGUAAACAUAUACCAAAGCAUGACACUGUACUACAGAAGAUAUACAAUUACUGUUUGUCAAUUUAAAACUUUAAAAAAUUUCAAAAGAUCAUUUGCAAUCUUGUGUCUGUCAUCUAUCCUUUCUCAACUAUAUCAUCAUCUAAGUUGUAGAUUAUUUUAUAAUUUUUAUUUAUUUAUUUUAUUUGAAAGGGAAAGAGAGAGAGAAAUAUCUCCCAUCUGCUAGUUUGCUCUCCAAAUGCCCACAACAGCUGGGUCUGGGCCAGACCCAAGCCAGGAUCCCGGAGCUCAGGAUCAUCCCAUACAGGUGACAGGAAUCCAAUUACCUGAGCCAUCAUCUGCUGCCUCCCGGCUUGCACAGUAACAGGAAGCUGGAAUCAUUUACAGAGCCAGGACUGGGACCCGGACACUAUGAUAUGGAAUGCAAGUGUCUCAAAUAGUGUCUUUUUUUAAAAAAGAAUUUAUUUUAUUUAUUUGAAAGACAGAGUUACAGGGAGAAGUAGAGCCAGAGAAAGAGAGGUCUUCCAUUCUGUUGGUUCACUCCCCAGUUGACCACAAUGGCCAGAGCUGAGCUGAUCUGAAGCCAGGAGCCAGGAGCUUCUUCCAGGUCUUCCACGUGGGUGCAGGACCCAAGAACUUGGCUCAUCUUCUACUGCUUUUCCAGGCCAUAACAGAGAGCUGAAUUGGAAGAGGAGCAACCAGGACUUGAACUGGUGCCCGUAUGGGAUGCCGGUGCUGCAGGUUGGGGCUUUAACCCACUGCGCCACAGCGCCAGCCCCCAAAUGGUGUCUUAACUUAAGAGUUAAACACUACUCUUAAGUUAUAGAUUAAAAAGAAAAAAUGUUUACUAGAACAAUAAGGCUUCUUUCUUUGUUAGUAUUGAUAUCUUUUUCUUUAUUUUUUUCGAAAGUUUCUAAAUGGCUUAUUUUUUAAGAAACUUAUUAAUACAUUAGAUUUUCAGGGUCACAGAAAAUGCAUAAUAAACACAACACAAUUUCCAUGAAAUCUGUGUUGGAAUCAAUAUCUUCAUAACCCAUUGAAAAGUCAGUUAAAUAGCUACGUAACAGGGGCAGGUGUUUGGUGCAGAGGUUAAGUUGUUAACCUCCACUUGGGGUGCCUGCGUGCCAAAUUGGGAGUGCAUGGUUUGAGUCCCAACUCCACUACUUCUGAUCCAGCUUCCUGCUAAUACUCAGUGGGAUGCUGCCGGUGACAGCUCAGCUACUACCACCCAUGCAGGAGAUUUGAAUUGAGUUCAGGUCCCUGCAGGCGUUUGGAGAGUAAACCGGAAGAUGGACAAUCUCUAUUUCUGCCUUUCAAAUUAAUUAAUUAAUUAAUUUUAAAAAUUAAAGGAAGAAAGCCAUUUAACUAUGUGUUUAAUUGUAAGGGCAGAGAAGGGGGUGAUCCUUUCGUGCCUGUCAUGAAGAGCCAUGGACCUUAUAACAAAAGACAGGUUAACAGGAGAAAACCACAACAAACUUAUCAGCUCAGAGUUUUAUGUGACAUAGGGGCUUUAGAUGAAAGACGCAAAGAUCCAAGAGUGACUUAUCCAUUUCCAGACUUAUGUUCAGUGUGGCAUGGACAGAGAUACAGACAAAAAGGACAUGAUGUAAUGGAAAUAGACUGAGGGGCGUCUGGGAACCAGCAGGGCCUGUCUGUUCAGAUUCUUGUCCUCUUCGUAGCAUUCCUUCUUCCCAGGGAUGGGCAGGGUCCAUGCUUGAAGGGGAGCUUAUGCCCUACAAUCACACAACGUAGCUUAGAGGAAUUCUUUAAGGCCAACUUACACAAGAAGGUAGGGAGAAGAGUGACACUUCUAGCUUUGUGGAUGGUUUUGGGGAAUAGGGACUCUUGUGUCUGUGACCUGCCCUGGAGGGGAGCAGUCCUAGUUUCUGUAGCUUGGCUCAGAGGAGCAUGAGCAGCUAAAGACAGGAGGGCAGAAGAAGGUCAGAGAGAAACUCAGCUUCCGAGGUCUUCUUUUUGGAGUUUUUUUUAAUAAUUUUUUUUUUGACAGGCAGAGUUAGACAGUGUGAGAGGAGACAGAGAGAAAGGUCUUCCUUCCGUUGGUUCACUCCCCAAAUGGCUUCGCCGAUCCGAAGCCAGGAGCCAAGUGCUUCCUCCUGGUCUCCCAUGCAGGUGCAGGGCCCAAGCACCUGGGCCAUUCUCCACUGCACUCCCAGGCCACAGCAGAGAGGCGGACUGGAAGAGGAGCAACCAAGACAGAAUCUUGCGCCCCAACCAGGUCAACUGGGGUGCCGGCGCCACAGGCGGAGGAUUAGCCUAGUGAGCCGCAGCGCCAGCCAUUUUGGAGUAUUUUUUACUGAGCCCCUGCAUGACCCACAAUACACAGGCUCCUUCUCUUAGCAGCAUCUUCCUGCCCCUUGACUACCUUUCUCUGGUUUGCCCCUGGCCCAUUCUGCCAACCAGACCCGGCCAGGCGCAGCAGAACUGCAGCUCUGUGGAGGUGAGCCACAGGCCUGCUGUCUUAAAAGAAGUUGUCAAGGACCUCCCAGUGUGGGUCCCUGACCCACUGUCAGGCUGACCCUCCCUCCAGCACUGCUGAGGGGGGCUUUGUGAUUCUCCGACUGACCCCUCUGACCCCUCUGCAAACAUGGUGCCUCUGUUGCACUCUGGCCUGGUGCUCAGUGGUUCCCCCUGCCUAGGACAGAACUUCCUAUUGCUUCAUAAAAGAUACAUAUUUGCUUCUGUUUUUUUGUAAAGGAAGUAUCAUCAAGGAACACUUUUUUUUUUUUUAAGAUUUAUUUAUUUAUUUGAAAGUCAUAGUUACACAGAGAGGAAAGGCAGAGAGAGAGAGAGAGAGAGAGAGAGAGUUCUUCCAACUGCUGGUUCACUCCCCAGUUGGCCACAAUGGCCUGAGCUGUGCUGAUCUAAAGCCAGGAGCCAGGAAGGAGCUUCUUCCGGGUCUCCUGUGCAGGUGCAUGGGCCCAAGGACUUCUACUGCUUUCCCAGGCCACUGGGAAAGAGAGCUGGAUUGGAAGAGGAAUCAGCGUCCAUAUGGGGUGCCAGCGCUUCAGGCCAGGGCAUUAACCCAGUGUGCCAGAGUGCUGACCCCAGAACACUUUCUUUUUAUUAAAAAAAAUUAUUUAUGUAUGUAUUUGAAAGUUAGAGUUACACAGAGAAGGCAAGGCAGAAAAAAAAAGGUCUUCCAUCUGCUGGUUCACUCCCCAGUUGGCCGCAUUGGCCAGAGCUGCACCAAUCCAAAGCCAGGAGCCAGGAACUUCUGGGUUUCCCAUGCAGGAGAAGCGGCCCAAGGACUUGGGCCAUCUUCUGCUGCUUUCCUAGGCCAUAGUAGAGAGCUGGAUCGGAAGAGGAGCUGCUGGGACUCAAACCGGCACCCAUAUGGGAUGCUGACACCUCAGGCCAGGGUUUUAACCCACUGCACCACAGUGCCAGCCUCAAAAGAUACAUAUUUGAAUAACUCUGCCUGAACCUUUUUAAUGGCUACAUAUUAUUCCAUUGUAUAGAUAUAGUACACUGAUAGACACUUAGGUGGUUUCUUUCUUUUCUUUUCUUUUUUAAAUGAUUUAUUUAUUUAUUUGAAAGGCAGAGUUACAAAGAGGCUGUGGCUGAGAGCAAGAGAGAGAGAGAGAGAUCUUUCAACUGCUGGUUUACUCCCCAAGUGGCUGCAGUGCAGGGCAGUGGCUUUACCUGCUAUGCCACAACACUGACCUCUUAAGUGGGUUCUAAAGUUUUGGUAUUACAGAGAAGGAUAUCAUGAAACUGCCAAGUGCAAUGUAGAGUAAACUCCUGGAAGUAGAAUUUUAAAGUUCAUGAUAUGUACCUUUUUAUUUUGAUAGAUUUUGUUAAAUUGCUCUCAUUUUACUUGAGUAGUGGUUUAGAUUCUUAGCAACAUAAAUGCUUUCAAAUUAAAUAUACCUGUUU